CCCCUCCUAGCUCAGUCGGCAAAGAAUCUGCCUGCAAUGCAGGAGACCUGGGUUCACUCCCUGGGACAGGA
This 71-nucleotide transfer RNA is filed under the name Bos taurus (domestic cattle). It matches the Rfam family "tRNA". Rfam says of the family: Transfer RNA (tRNA) molecules are approximately 80 nucleotides in length. Their secondary structure includes four short double-helical elements and three loops (D, anti-codon, and T loops). Lineage: Eukaryota; Metazoa; Chordata; Mammalia; Artiodactyla; Bovidae. RNAcentral also lists the same sequence under 5 other names. The record is from Rfam by way of RNAcentral.